GAGUUUGAUCGUGGCUCAGAUUGAACGCUGGCGGCAGGCCUAACACAUGCAAGUCGAGCGGUAGAGAGAAGCUUGCUUCUCUUGAGAGCGGCGGACGGGUGAGUAAUGCCUAGGAAUCUGCCUGGUAGUGGGGGAUAACGCUCGGAAACGGACGCUAAUACCGCAUACGUCCUACGGGAGAAAGCAGGGGACCUUCGGGCCUUGCGCUAUCAGAUGAGCCUAGGUCGGAUUAGCUAGUUGGUGAGGUAAUGGCUCACCAAGGCGACGAUCCGUAACUGGUCUGAGAGGAUGAUCAGUCACACUGGAACUGAGACACGGUCCAGACUCCUACGGGAGGCAGCAGUGGGGAAUAUUGGACAAUGGGCGAAAGCCUGAUCCAGCCAUGCCGCGUGUGUGAAGAAGGUCUUCGGAUUGUAAAGCACUUUAAGUUGGGAGGAAGGGCAGUAAAUUAAUACUUCGCUGUUUUGACGUUACCGACAGAAUAAGCACCGGCUAACUCUGUGCCAGCCGCC
Molecule: ribosomal RNA, 512 nt
Filed under: uncultured bacterium
Lineage: Bacteria
Description: bacterial SSU rRNA
Rfam family: Bacterial small subunit ribosomal RNA
Source: RNAcentral